AUGGAUCUUCUCCAACAUCUUCGCUUCCCGGUCAGAUUUCGGGAUUGGGUCGCUGCUUUGCUGUCCACGUCCACCUCGAGAGUGUUGAUCAACGGGGUGCUGGGAGACCCUCUGAAGCAUGGAUGCGGCCUUCGGCAGGGUGACCCGCUGUCUCCCCUUCUUUUUGUCCUCGCCAUUGAUCCACUCCAUCAUCUCCUU
Molecule: ribosomal RNA, 198 nt
Filed under: Triticum aestivum (bread wheat)
Lineage: Eukaryota; Viridiplantae; Streptophyta; Magnoliopsida; Poales; Poaceae
Description: partial small subunit ribosomal RNA
Source: RNAcentral